AAAUUCGCCUAUCCUCAAGGAGAUAACUGUUGAAUGCAUGAAGAAUCCUGACUUCAACCAGGAUGAAGUAAAGGCAGUAUUGGUGCCAUUAUGUAUGGCUUCAACAGAAUUCAAUUGGGUUGGAGGGACUUAUGAUUCCGGCAGUGAUGAUUCCUCAGAUUCCGAUGACAACUCAAACAGUCCAUACUCUUCUGAUAGUGAUUAGUUCUCAGGCAUAUCCUUAUUCUGAUUUUCAAAGGGGAGUGGACAACGCUGAAAAAGAAUGGUGGAGUUGUUUGAUCUCAAAUUUUUGCACUAGGAUGGCUUUGGUUUUGGACUGAGAAUUGCAUUACAUGAAUGAGAGAAAGCAAGAGAGUUGCAUGACUUGUUGCUGUUUAAAGUGUACAUGAAUAAAUUGAUGAGUGCAUCUGUUUAUGCAUAUAUUUUACACCUUAACCUUCCUCUCCCUUCUUAAGCUCCAUAAUGGGGCCUGAAUAAAGAAUAUCCAUCCCUUAAGAUACUCCUUUCCUGUUUUCUCUUUCAAUCCCAAACAAAAACAAGAGCAAUUGGGACUAACUAUUACUAAAAAGUAAAAAUUUGUGCUUUUCCUCCAAUUCCACAGAAAAAUUGGGCUUCAACAAAACCCAAUAAAAAAAGGAGACAAAUAUAACUUGAGCACAAUUACCUGCAAGGGAACGACCGUUGACAUUUCAACAAAAGGGCAAGGCCCCAUGUUGGUCCAAAGACUCUACGCUGGAUAGAGGGACAAUUUAGCGGUGGUGAUAAUAAUGGCCGCUCUUUUCUUGUUUGGCAUUUAUAAGAGUUUCCUUUUAUGUCUUUUCCCUGCCUUCAUCUGCCCAUCAUUCUGGCUUCCAUUAUAUGUCACCGACUCUUCAUCACAGACCAGGUUCUGCACAUUCUGCUGCCAGUAAUAAUGACAAUAAGGAGAAAGUGGAGGCUGUGAAGAAAGUGGAGGUAAUGGAUAAAACCCAGGAGCAUUCCCCUCUUUCCACAUAGGAUAGUAUAGUCCAUGUGGAGGAGGAAAAUGUUGGCUACCAAGAAGAGCUGUACCAUUCUUGAUGAACUCUUUUCGAUGAAAAUUUCUGUGACAAUCACAGGCCUCACAAAGAAGAGCUUCUUUAGUACCUUGAUCACCUUUUGGUGUGAACUCUCCACACCCAUCUGCUGCAUAGCCGCCAAUCAAGACUGCAUGGUUACGUCUACACUCUCUAUACUGGAUAGUGGUUUCCCUUGAUUCUUCACUGAGUUGUUUGGACUUUAAUUUACUAUUAGCCAUGAGACAUCAGAGAGAGAAAGAGAGAGAGAGA
RNAcentral lists this unclassified non-coding RNA (1307 nucleotides) under Hevea brasiliensis (rubber tree). Lineage: Eukaryota; Viridiplantae; Streptophyta; Magnoliopsida; Malpighiales; Euphorbiaceae. The record is from RNAcentral.